CCUACGGGAGGCAGCAGUGGGGAAUAUUGCACAAUGGGGGAAACCCUGAUGCAGCGACGCCGCGUGAGUGAAGAAGGAUCUCGGUACGUAAAGCUCUAGCAGCAGGGAAGAGAAUGACGGUACCUGACCAAGAAGCCCCGGCUAACUACGUGCCAGCAGCCGCGGUAAUACGUAGGGGGCAAGCGUUAUCCGGAUUUACUGGGUGUCAAGGGAGCGUAGACGGCAGCCCACGUCUGGAGUGAAAUCCCGGGGCUUAACCCCGGAACUGCUUUGGAAACUGUGCGGCUGGAGUGCAGGAGGGGUCAGCGUCAUUCCUCGUGUAGCGGUGAUAUGCUUAGAUAUUAGGAGGCACACCGGUGGC
Molecule: ribosomal RNA, 361 nt
Filed under: uncultured bacterium
Lineage: Bacteria
Description: partial 16S ribosomal RNA
Rfam family: Bacterial small subunit ribosomal RNA
Source: RNAcentral